CUCAUUAAAUCAGUUAUAGUUUAUUUGAUGGUCUCUUUUGUCUUUUUUACCUACUUGGAUAACCGUGGUAAUUCUAGAGCUAAUACAUGCGCAAGGUCCCGAGCGCGGGGGGCAGGGCUUCACGGCUUCGUCUCUGCAUGCGCAGAGGGAUGUAUUUAUUAGGUUAAAACCAGCAGCGUCAGCAAUCGGCGUUCACACAACUGGUGAUUCAUAGUAACUCUUUCGGAUCGCAUUCAUG
RNAcentral lists this ribosomal RNA (238 nucleotides) under uncultured Acanthamoeba. RNAcentral's name for it is "partial 18S ribosomal RNA". It matches the Rfam family "Eukaryotic small subunit ribosomal RNA", at positions 97 to 279 of the family's 1831-position model. Lineage: Eukaryota; Discosea; Longamoebia; Acanthamoebidae. The record is from RNAcentral.